Molecule: ribosomal RNA, 439 nt
Filed under: uncultured bacterium
Lineage: Bacteria
Description: bacterial SSU rRNA
Rfam family: Bacterial small subunit ribosomal RNA
Source: RNAcentral
CUGGAGGCAGCAGUGGGGAAUCUUCGGCAAUGGGUGAAAGCCUGACCGAGCGACGCCGCGUGCGGGAAGACGGCCUUCGGGUUGUAAACCGCCUUUCUGUGGGACGAGAACGGACGGUACCACAGGAAGAAGCCUCGGCUAACUACGUGCCAGCAGCCGCGGUAAUACGUAGGAGGCGAGCGUUGUCCGGAGUUACUGGGCGUAAAGGGUGCGCAGGCGGUGGUGCGCGUGGAUAGAUGAAAUCUCCUGGCUUACCUGGGAGGAUGGUAUCCAGACGGCAUCACUUGAGGGUCGGAGAGGGGCGUGGAAUUCCGGGUGGAGCGGUGAAAUGCGUAGAGAUCCGGAGGAACACCGACGGCGUAGGCAGCGCCCCGGACGACACCUGACGCUGAGGCACGAAAGCUGGGGGAGCGAACAGGAUUAGAAACCCCGGUAGUCC